This 235-nucleotide long non-coding RNA is filed under the name Gossypium barbadense (sea-island cotton). Its description in RNAcentral is "long non-coding RNA (GBAR_LNC021658)". Lineage: Eukaryota; Viridiplantae; Streptophyta; Magnoliopsida; Malvales; Malvaceae. The record is from RNAcentral.
UUUGGACUAACGUAAUACAUAUUGUAAAUGGCCCAAUUUGCCCGGGCCCAUGCAGCAAUAAACAAAAAAUAAAUAAAAAACAAAAUCCCAAUCACUUACAAAUCCAGCAGGCCUAUAUGGCCCAAAACCAAAAAAUAGCCCAAACCUAACUAUACCUAAACCCUAGCCCAACAAAACAGCUCAAAACACUUUUAGAAAAAGAAAACAAAAAAACCAUAACAGCCUAGGUUUCCAG